GUCAGAAAGACAUAGUUCCAGCUUUCAGGGAGCUUAAAAUCUAAUAAGACAAAAAAAAGACAAUCAGAUUUUAUUGUAAUAAAUGUUAGCAAAGAAAAACUGUAGAGAAUUUAGAGGAAGAAGUGAAUAACUUCCCUGGUGUUCAGAAAGGAUUCAUGGUGGCUUUAUGGAAUAAUCCUUCCUACAUUUGAGGGAGGGGGAGUCAAAUCUAUCCUGGCUCCCUCUCCCCUGUUUGUACCCCCAACUCCUACCUGCCCUGCAAUAUACAUCAGUUCUUCAACUUACUCUCUUAGUAAAUGAUUUCUAAAUUCCUUUAAUCCCAUUCCUCCCUCAUCUAGAGAUUUUGCUUUCCAACAUUUUUUUUCCUCCAAAUUCCUUCUAGACUUGACCAUUGACUCACCAGUGAUCUGAUGAGGGUCCAGCAUGAGGGCAAUGUACCUCACAUGUGUGGAGAAGGUUGCUGGUAUUGUUAUUGGACCCCAAGGCCAGGUUCUUGAGUCAGUGUCAUAGAAAUGAGCAUAGAGCUUGAGGGAGAUGAAGCAGAUGGGGUUUAUUAGAGAUAGCUUGUAUACAAGGGAGCCGCGAGAAAGGAGAAUGUGCGCGGGAAGCAUGCAGGCCUUAUAAAGGCACUUUCCCAAAGGAUGAGGAGGUAGGAGUGAGGAAGCAUCCUUCAGCCCCAUGGUCAUUAUUUUGUGGUCAUUACUUUUUAGUGGACAUGAGACAGUCACAGGAUGCCUUUGUCCCUGGUUGACAUUCUUUCAGGGUUUUGGGAAAAUAGAAAUACAGUGCAAGCAUGCUCUAAAUUGUUGCUUCACGUUUUGCCCAGAUAACCAUUACUCCCUGCUGGCUGUUAUCUCUCAUUUGUUCUCUUUUCCAGAAGGAGAUAUUUGUCUCUUAGGCAUGUAAAACAUUUUAACCCUUGCCUCAGACCACUGCCUUUGUAGAAGUCCCCGUUGCUUACCUUAUAUUGACUCACUAUAUAGUACUAUCUCAUCUUCCCCCUUUUGAAUUGCUCCUUAUAUAUUUAUCUCACAUUCUAGGCCUCUAGAAGCUCCCUUCUGUCUUGCUUCACAUUGUACUAGAAAAAAAAUCUGUUAAAUUCAUAUACACAGAUAGUAGUGCAAUAAUCCAAGCAUGAUCCAGCUGUAAAACUGUAUUUGGAAAGCAAAUAAUGCUCAACCCAAAGAAAAAUUCCUUAAGGGAAGGAUUUUAAGUAUCUUAGUGAAAAAUACAUAGUUGGUAAAGGGGCUUUUUUUGAGGGUGGGGUGGGGUAUGAGUCACACUAUACAUUUGAUUGCUGACUUGACAUGAGGCCAGCUCCUAAUAAAAAUAUUGAAGAAAAGGAUGUGUUAAGAAUAUACCACAAUAGCAGCUAAUAUUUAUUGAAUUUUAUUACAUGAGAAUCAUUGUGCUAAGAAAUUCUAUACAUAUUAAGAUUAUUCAAUGCCUACAACAACCCUGUGAAAUAUAUGCUGUUAUCUCUCUAUUUUACAGAUAAGGAAACUGAGGAAUGGAGGUAUUAAAGUUGUAUAAGACCAGGUGAGAGACCUAGUUUCAGAAUCAAGAGGCUUGGGUUCCAGCUUUGAUUUUUAUCACUUACCAUGUGAUUUUUGAAGCAGGCAUGACGUUACAUUGAACUUCCAUCACUCAUCUGUAAAAUGAAGGAGGUUAACUAAAAUUCUUCAUAGGUCUAUUGUAGCUGCAUGACUUUCUGUUCAUCUUCAUGGUCUGUUUAUUUAGCAUAGUCAAAUCUGAGGAAAAAGACAAAACCAGGAGUCUUUCUUUUUGUGUAUAUGUGUAUGCUUUUCCCAUGAAGCAUUGCUGGAUAUCUCCCUGCCAAUAUUUGCUUUGAUUCCUAAACAGUAGCUGUUUUUUCAAAGGUACCCCUGUAUUUUAAGCAUGAAUAAGGUGUUGAAACGCAUGAGAAAUAUGAACAUUAUACAAGGAAAUCGAUAAGGUUAGGAAUCUUCACACAUUUAACUUAAUCAUGUCUGACACUGAAAACAAAGUCAUAUUUUAUUGCCUGAGAGGAAUGCUCUUUGGCAAACUGUGAUAGUAAUCUGAUUGUGAACAAUGCUUAUUCAUCAUUUCUAGGGCAGUGGUUGGUGUGCCAGCCAAGGGACAGCUGACCUAAUGUGCUUCAAGUUGCAUGCCUCAACAUCAGUUAUAUUGUGUAAAAUCACCAAAGCAGAGGUAGUUUAUAUUGGUCAUCCAGAAAAUAUGGGCUCCUUGCUUGUCUGCUCUCCUGUUUUCAUUGAGAAUAGUAGCCAAGGGGAUGAAUUCUCUGAGUGAUUUUCAAUGAUCAUGUUUCUAUUUCACAAUCUCUGUUUGGAUUCCGGAAGUUGGGGAAAAGAUAAAAAAAUUGCAAACCAUUAAGAAUAUGCUAUCACAAGCAUAAAUAUAAGGUAUAAGUAUGGUAGUUAUCUAAGAUAUGUUAUGGAAACCACCUAUGUGGUUUUAUGUUUCAGAAAUGGGGAGUAUUAUUUUUAGCUAUAUCAAUGCCAUUAUCUUUCCCAAGAUAGCUGGGAGCUGUUCAGUCUUAUAACCCUCCUCCUCUGAUGUCAUAUCAUUUGCCCACCUUUGAAAAUGUUUACUCUGGGAAAUGGUCCACAAUUUAUUUUCCCCCGUCCCUAGUUUGAGUUCAAGAGUCCUUUUCAAGCCUUCUUUGGGACUCUGUGAUCUCCUUUAACAAAGCUCGUACCAUGUGGAAUGAGAUAUAGUUAUGGUUAUAUGGUUAUGAGAUCAAUCUUAAGAGUGUAUUGAUCAUCUACUUUAUGAUCAACUCUGUAAAGUUUGAGUCACUAAAUUCUGGUAGUGUUUCAAGUAGAUAACUUUUGUGUAAUGUCCCUUUUCCCUUAAGAAUAAUAAGAAUAAAUAAAAA
RNAcentral lists this long non-coding RNA (2881 nucleotides) under Canis lupus familiaris (dog). RNAcentral describes it as "lncRNA (ENSCAFG00000054113.1)". Lineage: Eukaryota; Metazoa; Chordata; Mammalia; Carnivora; Canidae. The record is from RNAcentral.